Molecule: transfer RNA, 73 nt
Filed under: Yimella lutea
Lineage: Bacteria; Bacillati; Actinomycetota; Actinomycetes; Micrococcales; Dermacoccaceae
Description: tRNA-Lys
Rfam family: tRNA
About the family: Transfer RNA (tRNA) molecules are approximately 80 nucleotides in length. Their secondary structure includes four short double-helical elements and three loops (D, anti-codon, and T loops).
Source: RNAcentral
GCUCCGUUAGCUCAGUUGGUAGAGCGACUGACUCUUAAUCAGCAGGUCGAAGGUUCGAGCCCUUCACGGAGCA